GACGAACGCUGGCGGCGUGCUUAAUACAUGCAAGUCGAACGGAAAGGCCCUGCUCUUGCGGGGUUCUCGAGUGGCGAAGGGGUGAGUAACACGCGUGUAUCCUGUCCUUGUCUUUGGGAUAACACCAGGAAACUGCGGCUAUUACCGCAUAGGAUCUCUUGCAGCGUGGUGGGGGUUGGAAAGUUUCGGCGGUUCGGGAUGGACUCGCGGCUUACGAGCUUGAUGGUGGGGUAGUGGCUUUCGAAGGCUUUGACGGGUAGCCCGCAUGGGAGGGUGGCCGGCCACAUUGGGACUGAGGUACGGCGCAGACGCCUACGGGAGGCAGCGGGGGAAAGUAUGACGGAAUGAGGGGAAGUCUGAUGCGGCGGCCCCGGGUGCGGAAUGACGGGCUUCGGGUUAUAAACCGCUUUGGAAUGUACCGAAGAGUGAGUGACGGUAAUGGAUAAGGAAGCAACGGCUAACUACGUG
This 468-nucleotide ribosomal RNA is filed under the name uncultured bacterium. Its description in RNAcentral is "partial 16S ribosomal RNA". It matches the Rfam family "Bacterial small subunit ribosomal RNA", at positions 28 to 507 of the family's 1533-position model. The record is from RNAcentral.